Molecule: small RNA, 67 nt
Rfam family: Bacillaceae-1 RNA
Source: Rfam
UUCAGUGAAUCAAAGACUAAGAACGCCGCGUCCUGCGGCAGCGUCUUUGCGACCCCCAUCCUGGGGG